AACGUAGGAGACAAACGUUAUCCGGAGUUACUGGGCGUAAAGGGCGUGUAGGCGGCAGUCUAAGUCUGGCGUGAAAGAUCCCGGCUUAACCGGGGAAGGUCGUCGGAUACUGGGCAGCUAGAGGGCGGUAGAGGCGUGUGGAAUUCCGGGUGUAGUGGUGAAAUGCGUAGAGAUCCGGAGGAACACCAGUGGCGAAGGCGACACGCUGGGCCGCACCUGACGCUGAGGCGCGAUAGCAUGGGGAGCAAACAGG
RNAcentral lists this ribosomal RNA (253 nucleotides) under uncultured bacterium. RNAcentral's name for it is "partial 16S ribosomal RNA". It matches the Rfam family "Bacterial small subunit ribosomal RNA", at positions 524 to 776 of the family's 1533-position model. The record is from RNAcentral.